Long non-coding RNA from Arabidopsis lyrata subsp. lyrata, 519 nucleotides. RefSeq lists it as uncharacterized. The record is from RefSeq and is a predicted model, not a curated record. The transcript is spliced from 3 exons. NCBI's taxonomy places the organism in Eukaryota, Viridiplantae, Streptophyta, Magnoliopsida, Brassicales, Brassicaceae.
UAAAGGAUUUGAUCUUCACAAACCUCAACAAACAUACAACAGGACGCCCACCAGCAGUUUGGCUUCCUCUGUACACAGUCUCAGCAAAUGAUCCCCACAAGUGUCAGGUAACUUGAGUCAGAGACAGGAUCACAUGGAAAUACAUGAGUUCCAUUUGUGAAAGUCAUCUUAUAUAGAUGAGAGGUUGGACGGAAUUGGCCACUGGCAUAAUUGAGAGCAAAGAUCUCAAUGAAAACCCAAUGACCAACAGAUAACACCAACUCUAGAGUUUCACCAGUGCUGGCUGUGUACUGCCGCCAGGAGUGAAGUACCUUCACUUGGACUCUCAAUUGUGUGGUGUAUGGCCUGACAUCUUUGAGGUAAGCAAAUGUUGCAGCAGCCAUUGUUUGAUGGUUUAUGGUAAGAUCUAAUGUUUAGAUUAGAGGCUGUGAGGGCUGAUGAUAAUGAGAGGUUAGACAUGGAACUAUAUAUAGGGUCAUAUAUUAGGUUAAAGAAAACUUGAUCACAAAGCAUAUUGGU